This 37-nucleotide ribosomal RNA is filed under the name Gigaspora rosea. Its description in RNAcentral is "partial 26S rRNA". The record is from RNAcentral. Lineage: Eukaryota; Fungi; Glomeromycota; Glomeromycetes; Diversisporales; Gigasporaceae.
UGACCUCAAGUCAUAUGAGAGUACCCGCUGAACUUAA